GGGAUUGUGGCUCAGCAGUAGAGCACUCACCUAAAAAGUGUGAGGCCCCAGGUUCAAUCCUC
RNAcentral lists this transfer RNA (62 nucleotides) under Ictidomys tridecemlineatus (thirteen-lined ground squirrel). RNAcentral describes it as "Spermophilus tridecemlineatus (thirteen-lined ground squirrel) tRNA". It matches the Rfam family "tRNA", at positions 1 to 62 of the family's 71-position model. Rfam says of the family: Transfer RNA (tRNA) molecules are approximately 80 nucleotides in length. The record is from Rfam by way of RNAcentral. Lineage: Eukaryota; Metazoa; Chordata; Mammalia; Rodentia; Sciuridae.